UCCUGGUUAGCUCAAUUGGUAGAGCGACCGCCCCCGGAAUGGCGUUGGUCCCGGGUUCGAUCCCCGGACCAGGAC
RNAcentral lists this transfer RNA (75 nucleotides) under Rhipicephalus sanguineus (brown dog tick). Its description in RNAcentral is "transfer RNA proline (anticodon CGG)". It matches the Rfam family "tRNA". Rfam says of the family: Transfer RNA (tRNA) molecules are approximately 80 nucleotides in length. Their secondary structure includes four short double-helical elements and three loops (D, anti-codon, and T loops). The record is from RNAcentral. Lineage: Eukaryota; Metazoa; Arthropoda; Arachnida; Ixodida; Ixodidae.